RNAcentral lists this ribosomal RNA (486 nucleotides) under uncultured bacterium. Its description in RNAcentral is "partial 16S ribosomal RNA". It matches the Rfam family "Bacterial small subunit ribosomal RNA", at positions 28 to 507 of the family's 1533-position model. The record is from RNAcentral.
GAUGAACGCUGGCGGCGUGCCUAAUACAUGCAAGUCGAACGCUGGAAAUCUAGCUUGCUAGAUUGAAGGAGUGGCGAACGGGUGAGUAAUACAUAAGCAACCUACCCACGAAGACUGGGAUAAUCUCUGGAAACGGGGACUAAUACCGGAUAGGUAAUCGGAAGGCAUCUUCUGAUUAUUAAAGGUUAAAAACCCUGGUGGAUGGGCUUAUGGCGCAUUAGUUAGUUGGUGAGGUAACGGCCCACCAAGACGAUGAUGCGUAGCCGGCCUGAGAGGGUGAACGGCCACAUUGGGACUGAGACACGGCCCAGACUCCUACGGGAGGCAGCAGUAGGGAAUUUUCGGCAAUGGGGGAAACCCUGACCGAGCAACGCCGCGUGAGUGAUGACGGCCUUCGGGUUGUAAAGCUCUGUUGUAAGGAAAGAACGGUAGAUAGAGAAUAUCUAAAUGACGGUACCUUACCAGAAAGCCACGGCUAACUACGUG